UACAGAGGGGGCAAGCGUUGUUCGGAAUUACUGGGCGUAAAGGGCGCGUAGGCGGCCUUCUAAGUCGAACGUGAAAUCCCCGGGCUCAACCCGGGAACUGCACAGGAAACUAGCGGGCUUGAGUUCGGGAGAGGGAAGCGGAAUUCCGGGUGUAGCGGUGAAAUGCGUAGAUAUCCGGAGGAACACCGGUGGCGAAGGCGGCUUCCUGGACCGACACUGACGCUGAGGCGCGAAAGCUAGGGGAGCAAACGGG
This 253-nucleotide ribosomal RNA is filed under the name uncultured bacterium. Its description in RNAcentral is "partial 16S ribosomal RNA". It matches the Rfam family "Bacterial small subunit ribosomal RNA", at positions 524 to 776 of the family's 1533-position model. The record is from RNAcentral.